ACACAGAAAAGAGCAUCAAAAGCAACCUUCCAAUAUCUGAUAAUUUUUUAAAUUUUUUACAUGUGAUCAGCACUUAAAUUUAAUCCUUAUAAGAAAAUUAUCAGAUAAAAAAAGUCACUUAAGACUCCUUAAACAGAAGGAGUCUUUGCAUCCCUUCGCGCAUUCAGAAAACUUGUUGCACACGCGGCAAUGUUCUAAGAAUUUUUUCACACAUAAUCUGAUAGAUUUUUCAUACUUUAAAUUAUGUUCUAGGUGGUUCAUGAUCUGAUCUAAUUGCUAUA
This 281-nucleotide long non-coding RNA is filed under the name Elaeis guineensis (African oil palm). RNAcentral's name for it is "long non-coding RNA (EGUI_LNC063581)". Lineage: Eukaryota; Viridiplantae; Streptophyta; Magnoliopsida; Arecales; Arecaceae. The record is from RNAcentral.